This is a non-coding RNA of Acanthosepion pharaonis, 104 nucleotides long. NCBI's taxonomy places the organism in Eukaryota, Metazoa, Mollusca, Cephalopoda, Sepiida, Sepiidae. The record is from the annotation of a GenBank genome assembly.
CAUUAAAGCACCAGUUCCCAUAUGAUCUGUCACCAAAGUUAAGCAACGUUGAGCCUGGUCAGUACCUAGAUGUGCAACCACUUGGGAAUAACAGAUACUGUAAG